Peromyscus californicus insignis is the source of this 2061-nucleotide long non-coding RNA. RefSeq lists it as uncharacterized. The transcript is spliced from 4 exons. Lineage: Eukaryota; Metazoa; Chordata; Mammalia; Rodentia; Cricetidae. The record is from RefSeq and is a predicted model, not a curated record.
UGUGGACUAUUUAGUUCUUAACAUCCCAGCUGGAGUUGUUCACCCGGGUUGGCCUGGCCCUGUCCUUACUCUGCCUACAGUCUCUUCAUGUCUGACCUGCCUUUUAACUCAGGAGACAUACACUGAGCACAGAGAGGGCCUGCUGCACCACCACCACCCCAGCACCUCCGUGACCUGUCACUCUGAACCUGGGUUCAGCCAUUGGCAACGUUCGCAGGUCAGAAGGAGGUUAACAAUUCAGCCAUUGGCAACACUCGCAGGUCAGAAGGAGGUUAACAUCUGGCAAGCAAUAAGCUCUGCCCAUUCCCCCGUCUGCUUUCUGGGCUGGGGUGACUAUAUAUGCUUGUGGUUCUCAACCCCUGUCCUGUCCCUUGAGGUGUCCUCAUGCUCCGCAAGCCCUGCUGGAAAUAGUCCCUUUAUUAAAGUCUGCAACUAUUUCCCGAGUAUGCUCCAACUUCCCACUGAGACCCGAACCCACCCAGUGCACCUCUAUUCCAUUUCAUUUUAUUCUAUGUGUAUGGGUGUUUUGUCUUUACGUUUAUACGUGCACCGUGUGCUUGUAGUGUCUGUGAAUGCCAGAAAAGGGUAUCAGAUCCCCUGAAACUGGAGUUACAGACAGUUGUAAGCCAUCGUGUGGUUGCUGGAAAUCAAAUCCAGGUUCUCUGCAAAAGCAGCCAGUGCUCUUAAGCACGGAGCCAUCUCUCUGACCCAGAGCACCCAUAUUCUACUCAGUCUACAGGGACAAGAGGGUGAAGUCACUCAUCUGUGACCUUAAACUCCUGUGGGGGGAGUAUAGAUCCUCAAGAGGCUACAGAGGGUCUCAUGAAGUGUGGGGUGUCUGCCUAAGCAGGGAAGGCUAGACUGAUUGGACAUGGGAACUGCCGUUCUGUUUGCUCUGAGCCCUGUUUUCUGGCUCUGACUUGAGGGGGCGGAGGAAAGGGGGAGGGGCUAUUAUAAAGAGCCGCAGUGGGAAAGGAGCUGUUAAAAAGAACGGCAGUGUCCCGUGAUCAUGACCUCCUGCUCAGGACCAGAGACAAAAGCCGCCGCAGGUUCUUGGGCAGCCCCUGUCUCUGCCACAAUUCAAGGUCAGGAUCAAAGGGCCUACAUUCCUCCUCCGCAGGGCUGAGACUGAGCGGAGCAGAGUCCACUUCCUUAUUGGUUUUCUUAUAUUUAACAGUGUAGGUAAGUCAGAAGCAUACUUAUUUUCUUCCAGAGGACCCGGCAGAGCCGCUGACUUUUGGAGUGCCAGGAAAAAAAGAAAAAAAAAAAAUGACAAGGAAAAGCAACGUUUUCCAGAAGUGGCCCCUCGAGGGUACAAUGGCUGCUCUCCACCACUCAGUUCUCAGACCUUUGCACUUCACAGGGACGUUUAAGGAUGCCAUUCUCCUCACCCCACCCUGGCAGACAGACCCAAGGUGGUCCUUCAUCAGCUAUGAGCCUGGGAGGUGCUCAGCAGUGGCCCGCACCUGUGCUGUGCACAGCCUGGAAACCUUUCCUCUGCACCGAGGUGUCUGAGUAAAACCUGAGAAACAGGCUGCUGCCCGUAGCCACCACAGGAUCUGGCUUCUUGCUGCCACAAAAGCGGCCGAGGAUGGGGGCCAGGCUGUCCGUCCCAUCGUACAGUUCCAGGUGGUCAUAGGCACAUUCCUGGUGCUGCUCAAUCUCAAACUCAUUGAAUGUCUGGAGAUGGGAGAGCAGAAAGUGAGACUGUCCCCAGUUGUUGGCCUGGGAGCUGAACAGUUUCAAGCCAUACAGAUGACUGAUUGAUAGUCUGCCUGUGGUGUCAAGAGUGAAAUGUCCUGUGAGAGAUCUGCUCCGGAAACAAGUGAGUCCCACACAGCACUGCAGACCUGUGUGGUGGCGGCCACCUCACACAGUGCCGCCAGAAGAAGUGCUGUUACAGAGCACACUCCCUUCAUCUGCCCAGCAGCCCCCACUUCGAGAUUCACAGCAUCUUCCCAUUCCUCAGUAGCACAACAGACCUGGGCAUGCUCCAUGAUGGACACGGAGCAGGGACUUGAACCCGUGUCUGCCCAACACCAAAGUUUAUGCCCUUAGCAA